Molecule: ribosomal RNA, 292 nt
Filed under: uncultured bacterium
Lineage: Bacteria
Description: partial 16S ribosomal RNA
Rfam family: Bacterial small subunit ribosomal RNA
Source: RNAcentral
GUGCCAGCCGCCGCGGUAAUACAGAGGUCUCAAGCGUUGUUCGGAUUCAUUGGGCGUAAAGGGUGCGUAGGUGGCGAUGUAAGUCUGGUGUGAAAUUUCGGAGCUCAACUCCGAAACUGCAUUGGAUACUGCGUUGCUCGAGGAUUGUAGAGGAGAGUGGAAUUCACGGUGUAGCAGUGAAAUGCGUAGAUAUCGUGAGGAAGACCAGUUGCGAAGGCGACUCUCUGGGCAAUUCCUGACACUGAGGCACGAAGGCCAGGGGAGCAAACGGGAUUAGAAACCCUGGUAGUCC